Molecule: ribosomal RNA, 663 nt
Filed under: Triticum aestivum (bread wheat)
Lineage: Eukaryota; Viridiplantae; Streptophyta; Magnoliopsida; Poales; Poaceae
Description: partial small subunit ribosomal RNA
Source: RNAcentral
AUGCAGCAGUGGCUUGAUUUAGAAUCCAUUGCUAGAUCAAUAAUCUUCACUGAAGUGGAAGAUAGUUUGAUUUGGCAAUUUGAGUCGAAAGGGAUAUACUCUUCUAAAUCUCUGUAUGUUGUCAUUAACUUUAGAGGGGUGCAACCUAUCUACACUCCUGCGGUGUGGGACUUAAAAAUUCCACCCAGGAUUCAGGGAUUUCUUUGGCUCUUCUCUCAGAAUAAAAUUAUGACCCGUGACAAUCUGAGAAAAAGAGGUAUUCCAAAGCCUCUGGAAUGUAUUCAUUGUAAAGAGAUGGAAUCUGUUCAUCAUUUGUUUUUUGAGUGCGUGGUGGCUAGAGUAGUGUGGAAAGAGUUUGAGAUAAUAUUUGAUAGAACUUUCCAUUCCUUUAUUGAGUUAGCUGCGUGCUGGCUUUGCAACAAGAAAUUUGCUCAUUUGAAUAUGGUCUCUUCUGCGAUUCUUUGGGGAUUGUGGAAUACCAGAAAUUCCAUAGUGUUUAAUAGAUCUAAAUGGAUUUCUGUCAAACAGGUAUGGCAGAGAAUAAGUUCAUAUCUAGGAGAUUGGGUGAAACCGCACAGGGAGUUGCAGGAGGGGGCAGUAAAACUUUUCAGCGAUCUCCUGUUGAGAAGACUGAGGUCUCCGCUGGAACUGGAACCAGACUGA